GUGCCAGCAGCCGCGGUAAUACCGGCAGCUCAAGUGAUAGCCGAUCUUAUUGGGCCUAAAGCGUCCGUAGCUGGCCUCGCAAGCCCGUCGGGAAAUCCAGUAGCCCAACUACUGGGCGUCCGGCGGAAACUACAAGGCUUGGGACCGGAAGGCUCGAGGGGUACGUCCGGGGUAGGAGUGAAAUCCCGUAAUCCCGAACGGACCACCGAUGGCGAAAGCACCUCGAGAAGACGGCUCCGACAGUGAGGGACGAAAGCUAGGGUCUCGAACCGGAUUAGAUACCCCUGUAGUCC
Molecule: ribosomal RNA, 293 nt
Filed under: uncultured bacterium
Lineage: Bacteria
Description: partial 16S ribosomal RNA
Rfam family: Archaeal small subunit ribosomal RNA
Source: RNAcentral